RNAcentral lists this transfer RNA (90 nucleotides) under Grifola frondosa (maitake). It matches the Rfam family "tRNA". Rfam says of the family: Transfer RNA (tRNA) molecules are approximately 80 nucleotides in length. Their secondary structure includes four short double-helical elements and three loops (D, anti-codon, and T loops). Lineage: Eukaryota; Fungi; Basidiomycota; Agaricomycetes; Polyporales; Grifolaceae. The record is from Rfam by way of RNAcentral.
UGCCCCAUGGCUGAGUUGGUCACAGCGUCCGACUGUUAACACCUAGGUGAUGAUAUCGGAAGGUCGUGAGUUCGAGCCUCACUGGGGCAG